Molecule: ribosomal RNA, 253 nt
Filed under: uncultured bacterium
Lineage: Bacteria
Description: partial 16S ribosomal RNA
Rfam family: Bacterial small subunit ribosomal RNA
Source: RNAcentral
GACAGAGGUGCCAAGCGUUAGGCGGAAUCAUUGGGCGUAAAGCGCGUGUAGGCGGCUUCGUAAGUCCGUUGUGAAAGUCCAGGGCUCAACCCUGGAAUGCCGAUGGAUACUGCGGAGCUAGAGUCCGGAAGAGGCGAGUGGAAUUCCUGGUGUAGCGGUGAAAUGCGCAGAUAUCAGGAGGAACACCAAUGGCGAAGGCAGCUCGCUGGGACGGUACUGACGCUGAGACGCGAAAGCGUGGGGAGCGAACAGG